CCUACGGGUGGCAGCAGUGGGGAAUAUUGGACAAUGGGGGGAACCCUGAUCCAGCCAUGCCGCGUGUGUGAAGAAGGCCCUCGGGUUGUAAAGCACUUUCAGUGAGGAAGAACGCCUGGUGGUUAAUACCCAUCAGGAAAGACAUCACUCACAGAAGAAGCACCGGCUAACUCCGUGCCAGCAGCCGCGGUAAUACGGAGGGUGCGAGCGUUAAUCGGAAUUACUGGGCGUAAAGCGCGCGUAGGUGGCUUGAUAAGCCGGUUGUGAAAGCCCCGGGCUCAACCUGGGAACGGCAUCCGGAACUGUCAAGCUAGAGUGCAGGAGAGGAAGGUAGAAUUCCCAGUGUAGCGGUGAAAUGCGUAGAGAUCGGGAGGAAUACCAGUGGCGAAGGCGGCCUUCUGGACUGACACUGACACUGAGGUGCGAAAGCGUGGGUAGCAAACAGGAUUAGAUACCCCGGUAGUC
This 465-nucleotide ribosomal RNA is filed under the name Vreelandella stevensii. RNAcentral describes it as "partial 16S ribosomal RNA". It matches the Rfam family "Bacterial small subunit ribosomal RNA", at positions 338 to 795 of the family's 1533-position model. Lineage: Bacteria; Pseudomonadati; Pseudomonadota; Gammaproteobacteria; Oceanospirillales; Halomonadaceae. The record is from RNAcentral.